RNAcentral lists this ribosomal RNA (103 nucleotides) under uncultured bacterium. RNAcentral's name for it is "partial 16S ribosomal RNA". It matches the Rfam family "Bacterial small subunit ribosomal RNA", at positions 1384 to 1482 of the family's 1533-position model. The record is from RNAcentral.
UACACACCGCCCGUCACACCAUGGGAGUUGGUUCGACCUUAAGUCGGUGCGUGAACCUAGCAAUAGGGCAUAGCCGACCACGGUCGGGUUAGCGACUGGGGUG